UACGAAGGGUGCAAGCGUUACUCGGAAUUACUGGGCGUAAAGCGUGCGUAGAUGGUUCGUUAAGUCUGCCGUGAAAGCCCCGGGCUCAACCUGGGAAUGGCGGUGGAUACUGGCGGACUAGAGUGCGGUAGAGGGUGGUGGAAUUCCCGGUGUAGCAGUGAAAUGCGUAGAUAUCAAGAGGAACACCAGUGGCGAAGGCGAGUCCCUGGACGAUACCUGACACUGAGGCACGAAAGCUAGGGGAGCAAACAGG
Molecule: ribosomal RNA, 253 nt
Filed under: uncultured bacterium
Lineage: Bacteria
Description: partial 16S ribosomal RNA
Rfam family: Bacterial small subunit ribosomal RNA
Source: RNAcentral